Long non-coding RNA from Folsomia candida, 901 nucleotides. RefSeq lists it as uncharacterized. The transcript is spliced from 2 exons. Lineage: Eukaryota; Metazoa; Arthropoda; Collembola; Entomobryomorpha; Isotomidae. The record is from RefSeq and is a predicted model, not a curated record.
UAUUUAGCACUAAUUAUUUCGUUAUUGCUUAUUAUAGUUAAAGCUAAUUGUAUCAUAGAUAAUUUAUGAUAAAUUUCAAACCGGUUUUGUUAACUGGUAUCUAUUUACAAAACGCCCUUCGGACUUUUGGACGAAGUACUACAAAAAUGAGCCAUUCUCCGUUCAUAUCGUGAUAUAUAUUUAUGCUAACACUUGAAUAAUGGUUGAAAUGAAAAUGAAAUGAAACUGCGUCGUUCACUACGAGAAGGCCAAUUUUACUGAUAUAAAUUCAUAAAUACAGUUUCCCCCUCAAGGUCUCAAGUCAAAAUUGUCGUACUAUAUUGGAAUUGUUUAUUAUACCAUCUUUCUGAAAUUUUGACUCAUAGGAGGCUGCCCAUCUAUGUCCCACCACCACCACUCGCUGGACUAACCACUUGUUGGGCUGCUUUACAGGGAGACCUGCGUUGAGGGUCAAAAGGUCACAUACGGAAUGAAUGGCCCUCACGCCGUUGGCGCCGUGGGUGGUAACAAAUCGAAAUAAUAAUACCGGCCUCUGAUCGACUGACUGAGCCACCACCGCCAAAAACCUUUCCCAAUCUCUCUGGUCGCUAACUAUAUGCAAAUUAUAUGCUAAAUUCGUGCAAAAUCUUAUAUUAACUUAUAUGCAAAAUUCUUGAAUUUAUUUAUGUUCCUCACUUUUUUAUUUCAUUUCAUUUUCAAAAAACAUGACGUUCAAAAAAAUUGUAGUUAUAUUUUGAUCAUAUAAUAGUUAAUUAUUAAAUAAUCAUUAAUUAAACUAAAGUUAUAUAUAAAUCCCCCUCUUCUCUCAGUCACCAGACAGAUAAUAAACCAUGACGAUACACAACAUGAAUCUUAUCUCCUAAAUAAAUAUCACUGCUGGUGACCAAAAUACGACACCAAA